ACGUGAGCAACCUGCCCUUGACUUCGGAAUACCAGCUGGAAACAGCUGCUAAUACCGGAUACGACCUCGCCCGACAUCGGUUGAGGUGGAAAGCUCCGGCGGUCAAGGAUGGGCUCGCGGCCUAUCAGCUUGUUGGUGAGGUAACGGCUCACCAAGGCUUCGACGGGUAGCCGGCCUGAGAGGGCGACCGGCCACACUGGGACUGAGAUACGGCCCAGACUCCUACGGGAGGCAGCAGUGGGGAAUAUUGCACAAUGGGCGCAAGCCUGAUGCAGCAACGCCGCGUGCGGGAUGACGGCC
Molecule: ribosomal RNA, 300 nt
Filed under: uncultured Propionibacteriaceae bacterium
Lineage: Bacteria; Bacillati; Actinomycetota; Actinomycetes; Propionibacteriales; Propionibacteriaceae
Description: bacterial SSU rRNA
Rfam family: Bacterial small subunit ribosomal RNA
Source: RNAcentral